Molecule: transfer RNA, 73 nt
Organism: Monodelphis domestica (gray short-tailed opossum)
Lineage: Eukaryota; Metazoa; Chordata; Mammalia; Didelphimorphia; Didelphidae
Rfam family: tRNA
About the family: Transfer RNA (tRNA) molecules are approximately 80 nucleotides in length. Their secondary structure includes four short double-helical elements and three loops (D, anti-codon, and T loops).
Source: Rfam
AUCUGGGUGGCUCAGUGGAUUGAGAGCCAGGCCUAGAGACAGGAGGUCGUAGGUUCAAAUCUGACCUCAGAUA